CCUACGGGAGGCAGCAGUGGGGAAUAUUGGGCAAUGGAGGAAACUCUGACCCAGCGACGCCGCGUGCGGGAUGAAGGCCUUCGGGUUGUAAACCGCUUUCAGCAGGGAAUAAGCGCAAGUGAAGGUACCUGCAGAAGAAGCACCGGCUAACUAUGUGCCAGCAGCCGCGGUAAUACAUAGGGUGCAAGCGUUGUCCGGAAUUAUUGGGCGUAAAGAGCUCGUAGGUGGUUUGUUACGUCGGAUGUGAAAAUCAGGGGCUCAACCCCUGACCUGCAUUCGAUACGGGCAAGCUGGAGUUUGGUAGGGGAGACUGGAAUUCCUGGUGUAGCGGUGGAAUGCGCAGAUAUCAGGGGGGAACACCGAUGGCGAAGGCAGGUCUCUGGGCCAAUACUGACACUGAGGAGCGAAAGCGUGGGGAGCGAACAGGAUUAGAUACCCUGGUAGUCCACGCCGUAAACGGUGGGCACUAGUUGUGCGAACCUUCCACGGUUUGUGCGACGCNGCUACGACAUAGUGCCCGCCGUCGGGAGGACGAGUCGCGAGAAUUAAAACUUAAAGUAAAGUUAGACGGCGUGAGACGUGCCGAACGGACGACGACGAGGGAGGUAGG
This 610-nucleotide ribosomal RNA is filed under the name uncultured bacterium. RNAcentral's name for it is "bacterial SSU rRNA". The stretch from base 1 to 522 matches the Rfam family "Bacterial small subunit ribosomal RNA", at positions 338 to 873 of the family's 1533-position model. The record is from RNAcentral.